RNAcentral lists this ribosomal RNA (492 nucleotides) under uncultured bacterium. RNAcentral describes it as "partial 16S ribosomal RNA". It matches the Rfam family "Bacterial small subunit ribosomal RNA", at positions 28 to 507 of the family's 1533-position model. The record is from RNAcentral.
GAUGAACGCUAGCUACAGGCUUAACACAUGCAAGUCGAGGGGAAACGACAUCGAAAGCUUGCUUUUGAUGGGCGUCGACCGGCGCACGGGUGAGUAACGCGUAUCCAACCUGCCCAUCACUUGGGGAUAACCUUGCGAAAGUAAGACUAAUACCCAAUGAUAUCUCUAGAAGACAUCUGAAAGAGAUUAAAGAUUUAUCGGUGAUGGAUGGGGAUGCGUCUGAUUAGCUUGUUGGCGGGGUAACGGCCCACCAAGGCAACGAUCAGUAGGGGUUCUGAGAGGAAGGUCCCCCACAUUGGAACUGAGACACGGUCCAAACUCCUACGGGAGGCAGCAGUGAGGAAUAUUAGUCAAUGGGCGAGAGCCUGAACCAGCCAAGUAGCGUGCAGGAAGACGGCCCUAUGGGUUGUAAACUGCUUUUAUAAGGGAAUAAAGUGAGAGUCGUGACUCUUUUUGUAUGUACCUUAUGAAUAAGGACCGGCUAAUUCCGUG